GACGUAGGGUGCGAGCGUUGUCCGGAUUUAUUGGGCGUAAAGAGCUCGUAGGCGGCUCGUCGCGUCGACCGUGAAAACCCGCGGCUUAACUGCGGGCUUGCGGUUGAUACGGGCGGGCUAGAGUUCGGUAGGGGAGACUGGAAUUCCUGGUGUAGCGGUGAAAUGCGCAGAUAUCAGGAGGAACACCGGUGGCGAAGGCGGGUCUCUGGACCGAGACUGACGCUGAGGCGCGAAAGCGUGGGGAGCAAACAGG
This 253-nucleotide ribosomal RNA is filed under the name uncultured bacterium. RNAcentral describes it as "partial 16S ribosomal RNA". It matches the Rfam family "Bacterial small subunit ribosomal RNA", at positions 524 to 776 of the family's 1533-position model. The record is from RNAcentral.